Molecule: ribosomal RNA, 494 nt
Filed under: uncultured bacterium
Lineage: Bacteria
Description: partial 16S ribosomal RNA
Rfam family: Bacterial small subunit ribosomal RNA
Source: RNAcentral
GACGAACGCUGGCGGCGUGCUUAACACAUGCAAGUCGAACGGUGAAGCGCCUUCCUUUUUGGUGGGUGUGGAUGCGUGGCGAACGGGUGAGUAACCCGUGAGUAACCUGCCCCCUUCUUCUGGCUAACCGCAUGAAAGUGUGGCUAAUACGGGAUCUUCUGGAUCUAUCGACUACUGAGACUAGUCCAAAUCAUAUUUCGGUGAAACAUGGGCUCGCGGCAUAUACGCUUGUUGGUGGGGUGAUGGCCUACCAAGGCGGUGACGGGUAGCCGGCCUGAGAGGGUGGACGGUCACACGGGGACUGAGACACGGGCCAGACUCCUACGGGAGGCAGCAGUGGGGAAUAUUGCACAAUGUGCGGAAGACUGAUGCAGCGACGCCGCGUGAGGGAUGGAGGGCUGCGGGUUGUGAACCUCUUUCGCGAGUGAAGCAGGCGUGCAUCGUUUGUGGGUGGGUUGACUGUAGCUGGAUAAGAAGAGCCGGCUAACUACUUG